AGAGUCCUGUGUGUUGAUUGUUGUGGUGGUGUGAAAGCAGAACAAAAACUCCUUUUGAGGCCGGGCACAGUGGCUCAUGCCUGUAAUCCCAGCACUUUGGGAGGCUGAGGCAGGUGGAUCACCUGAGGACAGGAGUUCGAGACCAGCCUGGCCAACAAGGUGAAACCCUGUCUCUACUAAAAAUAUAAAAAUUAGCUAGGCGUGAUGGCGGGCACCUGUAAUCCCAGCUACUCGGGGGGCUGAAACAGGAGAAUCACUUGAACCUGGGAGGCAGAGGUUGCAGUGAGCCAUGACUGAGCCACUGCACUGCAGCUUGGGCAACAAACGAAACUCUGUCUAAAAAAAACACACAGUUUGAGAGAGUUUUUCCCUACACAGAUAGUAAUGACAGUGUGAGGAAGGCAGCAGUUGCUGGACUCUAGAAGGAGAGAGCUGAGUCCUUGACAGGAGCUGUCACCAGGGAAAGCAGCCAGCCAGAGGUGACCUUGCAGGGAGGGAGCGUGGGAAAUGACCGCUGAAGCUCUGCUGAAGCCAGAGGGCGGAUAUCCCUUCCUGUAGUCGACACAGGUGAGCUUCCAAGGCUCAGAGCAAGUGGAGAAGGGUGGAGAAUGCACCUGAAGGGGCAUGACAUGGUUUGGCUGUGUCUCCACCCAAAUCUCAUCUUGAAUUGUAGUUCCCAUAACUCCCACAUGCCGUGGGAGGAACUUGGUGGGAGGUAAUUGAAUAAUGGGGGCAGGUCUUUCCUGUGCUGUUUUGGUGAUAGUGAGUAAGUCUCACGAGAUCUGAUAGUUCUAUAAAGGGGAGUUCACCUGCGCAUGCUCUCUUCUUGUCUGCCACCACGUGAUACGAGACGUUACUCCUCUUUGCUUCUGCUAUGAUUGUGAGACCUCCCCAGCCAUGUGGAACUUUCUUAGGCCUUAGAACUUGGACUGGCGCUAGACCGUUGGCUCUCCUGGUUCUCCAGCUUGCUGACUGCAGAUUGUGGGACUUCUCAGACUUCAAAACUGUGUGUGAGUCAAUUCCUUAUAAUAAAUCUCUCUCUCUCCAUAUGUGUAUAUACAGAUAUAUACACACGUACAUAUAUCUGUCCAUCUAUCUCUCUCUCCAUAUAUAUGUCUCUACAUAUAUAAAGUAUGUAUACACACAAUAUAGUUAUAUAUAUGCACAGUGUGUAUAUAUAUAUACAACACAAUGCUAUAGGUACGUGUAUAUAUCCUAUUGUUUUAGUUUCUCUGUAGAACCCAGACUGUUAAUACAGGGAGAGUAG
RNAcentral lists this long non-coding RNA (1267 nucleotides) under Callithrix jacchus (white-tufted-ear marmoset). RNAcentral's name for it is "lncRNA (ENSCJAG00000080373.1)". The stretch from base 60 to 176 matches the Rfam family "Metazoan signal recognition particle RNA". Lineage: Eukaryota; Metazoa; Chordata; Mammalia; Primates; Cebidae. The record is from RNAcentral.